AGUGGUAAAACAUCUCCUUGCCAAGGAGAAGAUACGGGUUCGAUUCCCGUCGCUCGCC
Molecule: transfer RNA, 58 nt
Filed under: Jansenella griffithiana
Lineage: Eukaryota; Viridiplantae; Streptophyta; Magnoliopsida; Poales; Poaceae
Also listed under: 3 other names
Description: tRNA-Gly
Rfam family: tRNA
About the family: Transfer RNA (tRNA) molecules are approximately 80 nucleotides in length.
Source: RNAcentral